GAAAAUUUUUUACUCCGAUCACCAACGUCAGAUCAAAUACGAACGAGACGCUCAAUCUCAAACAUAUGACAGGUCAUCGACACACACCAUUUCUCAGUUUGGAAGGAACGUCGACAUACUUGGGUUUCAAAAUUCGUCUGGAGAUAUGACUGACGCCAUUUUCUAAGUAUAAGAAGUUUUCCUUCUAAGGCCAAGAUGAUAUCAUGUACAGUACGUGUCUGUUAUGUGAAAUUACUGGUUUUGACGCGUCGUACUGAAAUGAUAAUGAAAUGAGAACCACUCCAAUUUUUCAACGUCCAAAUCUAACAGCGAAGAAAAAGAAGAAAAUUCUUGCGUGAGUACAUCGGUGUGACCAGUCUGUUUCCUUGGUUCAUUCGUAUAUAAUUUACGUUCUGUAGAAACUGUUUAGACAAGCCAGCAAUAUUUCCGAAGCACGCUGAAUCUCAAUUCGCUGAAAAUUAUCGGAUGGCGUUAGAGUCUUGUGUAUGUUCUGAAAAAAAAAAUGAUAAGUUGGAGAGACAAUUUCCGUAGAUUAGAAGUAUCAUUGUGCGAUUUUGAGGUGAUAUUACAAGAUUUUGUGAACAAAUGCAAAGGUGGCGUCGAUAUUUCAACUAUCUCUGAGCAGUGAAAGAUCGAGUGAAAUAAUUUCAUUGAGAAAUGAAGAAAAUUAAAUUAUCCAAGGCUUAGAGCUUCAGUUUGUGUAAAAGUCUGCUUCAAUUUGAUUCCGCCACAAAAAGUUUUUAGCUCUGUAUUGAUAGGAAAAUGAAAUAUUCGCUCCUUUCGAUUUUAUUUUUUCUUGAUUUUGAUCGGUUUUGACGAACAGGAUAAUCUACUAAUGCAGGGGUUAACAAAAUCCGAUUACGCAUAGUUAUUUUGUUCACAACACACUGACAAGUUGGAUCACAUUGUUCUGUAUUUUAUGUUACUUCAUGAUUGAUUUUCUGUUGUACCAAAAAUUUACCAUUUAUGUUAUACUUUCUACGUCAAUGAAUUUGUCUGAUUGAAUAUUGGUUAAAAUCAUAUCUGUUUGUCAUGUGACGACUUCCGAGUCCGUGACUCACAAUCAGUGACAGGAGGUAGCUUUGGCAAAAUUCCAAGUCCGCGAAACGUUUUAGCUCAGUUGUAAUAGGGUGCGUCGUAUUGGCAAAUCCAAUCUCACAUUUUUAUUCGAAAGAUCAAAAAUAUUCGUAGUCAGUUGAAUUUGACUCGCUGAUUUGAAUCAACGGAACGAGAGAUCAGGAGACUGUUUUACACUUUGAAAAACUUUUUUUUUACACAAAUCAUAAAAUUUCUUAUAUCUUACCUUCAACGUGGCAUCGCCUCGCAGAGUAGCCAUUUUAUUAUAAAGCACACCGGCAUAGAUUCAUUUAAAUAACAUGAUUCAUCGAUAAGAAUAUGUUGAAAAUUUUUUGUAACGUGCAUCUCAAAGUUCAACACUCAAAUACCUUGAAACUCGCUCUACGUCUCCCGUAGAAUUCACGACUAUUAUUAUUUAUUCGUACAUUCAACGAUUCAUUACAAUAUUUGUCUAAAACUUGUUUUAAAAUAAAGGAUAAUGAAAAUCAAUUCCUUGAGGAGUAUAAUAUAAAUGUUGUGUAUUAAAUAGUUGAAUCUCCGAAAAUAUGACAAUUAUUUUUGAAUAUCUUAUAUUAUACAGGUACUGUAUCUAAUCAAAAAUCAAUAUCUCUGAAUAACCUGAGCUCCCUUUUUCUAAUCUAGUGAGGUGA
Molecule: long non-coding RNA, 1727 nt
Organism: Neodiprion virginianus
Lineage: Eukaryota; Metazoa; Arthropoda; Insecta; Hymenoptera; Diprionidae
Exons: 3
Source: RefSeq, a predicted model, not a curated record